UACCAUUCAACAGCAUUACAAGGCAACAAAAUGUAUAAUCAACUAUUACCCAAGAGUAUAAAAUUCAUAAUCCCUGUACAAUGGAGAAAACAAUGUAACAAUUUAAUAACAAAUACCCAAAAGAAAAAUGAAACCCCUAUCAUUUACACUUAGGGAAAAUUUUUAGAAGAAAAAAAUUACAUACAUACCUAUCAAACUCGGUAUCUUUAAUAGCUGUAAGACUCAGAACUCUAGAUCCUAUCUAUGUGGUGGGUGACGGAAAGGAAAUAAAUUGUUAGACCCACCAAAAAAUGGAUAAAAAAUGGAUAAUCUUCAUUGACAUCUAUGCACGUAUUUUUCUCUCUUGUUUGCAAAGAACUACUUCCUUGAGGUAUCAAUGCAGAAACUAACCAGGCCAUGGUUCAAUUCAGUUAUAUAGUGGCAGCAGCAGGCAGCUAAGAACCUAACUAUAUAUCUAGGAGGUUGCUCCUGGGAAAUUAUAUAUGAUAUCUGAGUUAGCAAAUAAAUGUCGGCCAGAUACCGUAAAAUCCAUCUUCACCCCAUAAAAAGGUAUUUCAAGUCCUCCACUGUUAAACGAGUCUGACGACCACCAGUUUCAUCCUCCCCAAAUGCAGAUGCAACCAUCUCCCUCUUUUUUUGCUGUAGGGCUAAAAUUCGAUCUUCAACAGUAUCUUUCACAGUUAAACGCAAAACAGUAACAGGACGAGUCUGUCCUAUGCGAUGUGCCCUAUCGAUUGCCUGAUCUUCAGUAGUAGGAUUCCACCAGAGGUCCAGAAGCAGCACACGACAAGCUGCAACCAUGUUCAAUCCCAGACUAGCAGCUUUCAAAGACAUAAUCAUAACUGACACCUCUGGAAGUGUAUUGAAAUCCUUCACAGCUCUAUCUCUGGCAACAACUGACAUUGUUCCAUCAAGUCUUCUGUACUGAAUUGAACAAUUUUUAAGACAAGUUUCAAGCAAAUCCAACAUCCUUGUCCACUGAGAAAAUACUAUGGCUUUCUCACCAACUACAUUAACUGAACCAUUAACAUUUUCAUCAGCAAGUACAUUUCUCUGAUCACUUUUAUCAUUAACUGAAUUUCCAGAACUACACAAGUUCUCAUGACAGCCGGCAUUUCCAUCAAAAGAGUUCUCUAAAGAACCAUUUGUAGAUGUACAAUCCCCUGGUUUGGUCAGUGAUAGCAAGACUUCAAGCGCAGCCCUAAUUUUUGAGGAAUCAUGUGGACAACCCUCAGAAUAAGGCUUUGUUGCCCGACCAAGUUCAAAGCCAGAACCAUCUUGAGCAGGCUGGUCAGAGAGAGAACUGUUUAAUGUGGAUUUGGAAAACACUGAAGAUUUAUUUAGUCGAACUUUGCAUUUUGACGCAGGGCAUUGGUUGUCAUCACCAGUGAGAUGUUCACAUAUGCAUUGGUUACAGAACACAUGACCACAGAUUGAAACAACAGCAUCUUCCGGUGGAUCAUUGCAGAUGCCACAGAUUGCCAAAGAUGCUUCUAGGCAAUUCCAAAGGCACAUCUGUUUCUCCCUGGGGAGCUUCUUUGCCAUCUCAGUUGAGGAUUUUCCAAAAGAAAUUGAAUCUAAACCCCUAACAAGAAGAGGAUGAUCACAAGCUUGACGAAGACGCAACAGCAUCAACAAAAUGUUGACGUAAUUUUGUUUGACUGUUCCAGCAGCUGCAUAUUCUUUGAACUGAGCACGUGAAGUAAUCUCUAGCCUUGUGUAGAAGUCACGCUCUUCAUCAGUAAAAUCUACUUUUUUCAGUUCUACUACUUUGGGCGGCAGGGUAAUGAUCGGUUUGCCAUCAAUAUUUGUCCCUUUGGUGCGACGAAGCAUUAUUGCCUUCAGCACUGCUUGCAGCUUUUUGUACCCUUUUGUUGGAUUCUUUUGAAUUGGAAUCUUUAUUGUGGAGCAGAACAAUGUGUAGACAUCAUAAGGAUCAUACCUGAGGAACCUGAAGUAGCUAUAAAGAUCAUCUAUUGCAUUUUGGAUAGGAGUUCCAGAUAGGCACCACCUGCGCUUUGCACGAAGACCCCAACAGGCCCUAGCUACUUGAGUUCUAUGAUUCUUGAUGCUCUGAGCCUCAUCCAGGACAACCCUAAACCAUGCCACCUUUGCAAGAGGUCGAGCAACAGACUCAAGUAAUGCAGCAUCCAUUCCUUUCUUAUUCCUAGACCCCUUUUUGCCAAAACUGGGAGGAUAUUUUCUUUUCUUACCAAAUGAGAGCCCCAAGGAUGCUCCAUCAUCACCUUCACCUUUUCCUAUCUCAUCAUCAUCUUCAUCAACAAGAGGUUGCUUUGGCACCUCCAUGCUAACAAUUGAAUAUGUAGUUAGAACAACAUCAUACUUCGCAAGUUCACAAGGAUCCUUUGUUCGAUUGCUUCCAUGGUAUACCAGAACAGAAAGAUUAGCUUUACUGUUAACCUUCUUAUCCAACUCCUCAGCCCAUUGCCGUAAGACACUUGUUGGACAAACAACAAGAGUUCCUGCUGAAGGCCUUCCCGUAGAUUGCCCAUAAGAAUUCAUGCUCUUUUUUGAACUUUGAUUUGACAUGAGUUGAAAACUUUGAGCAUCCUUUUUCAUUCCAUAAACCUCAGUAACCUCAUCAUCAUCCUCAUCCAAAUCUAAAGGUUCAAACACUUCUUUCUUAACUAAUUGUGGAUCUACUUUAACAGAUGGAGGUCGUUCCUUAAGUAUAAGAGCAAUUGUUGAUACUGUCUUCCCUAAUCCCUGAUCAUCUGCAAGAAUUCCUCCUGAACAGUACAUGCUAGUCUCCUUCUGAAUCAUCCAUGACAAAGCAAUUCGCUGAUGUCUCAAAAGAGGAACUGCCAAAACUCCUUCUGGAGGACUAGCUUCGGACUUUGGCUGAGAAAUAUCCUGUAAUGCAGCUCGAAAUAUGAACCUCUCAUCGUUAGCCCUAAGCCUUGUGCUUCCAAUUCCAGUACAAUGAACAGAAUUACCAUAUGCAGAAUGUUGUGUAGGGGCAUUGGCCUUUCCAACUGCAACAGAUUGGUUUAUGCGAACAGGAUGACUGAUAUCUUCAAGAACACAUAGGUCAGUGCCGUCAUCAACAUUGGAUUUGCUACCAGACAAAUUACUCUGAAUUGAUUCAGGGCCGACGCUUGAAAGAUGACCCAAGCACUCAGGUUGAAUCAAUUUACUAUCUCUUUCCUCCUUAACAAAACUCAGCUGCUUGUUCACAUUAGGUUCCUCAACAUGUGAAAAAUAAUGGUCUGAAGCAUUUAAUUUCAAAUGUGCACCAAGGGGAAUUUUACCAGCAAUUCCAUCAAAUUGAGCUCUCAUAGAUGCAACAUUUACGUCUCCUUUCUCAUCAUUAACGUAGAUAAAAUGAUUCUGGCUCCACACAGAAGAUGAAACACCAGAAGAUGAUUGCUUUGACUCUUCAUCAACAAAAAGACUACUUUCAUCACUACAAGAAAACUUUCUAUUGACAGCUUCAUUAGAUAUUUCAUCGGAAUGGCUUAUCAUGCUCCUACAUGCUACCACUUCAUCAAUUUUUCCAUCCUCUACGGCAGCCAGUUGCUUCUUGCAGAUGGUUGACUGAAUACAACUGAAUGGUACUCCUGAUGACUUGUUAUCAACAAAUCUAUCAUCUGUAUUAGAUGAAAAAUUUCUGCUGAUAGGUGAUAUACAGUUAGCAGCUUCACUUUUAAAAUUCAGUCCCUUGACAUCAGAGUAAUCAAUCACUGAAAUCUCAGAAACAGAGCAUGAACUCUCAGUUUGAAACUCCCUGAUUUCAUCGUUUUUGUUAGUUGUAAUUACUUCAUUGCUAGGCAAUAAUUCAAAACUGAAAUCUUCAACAAAAUAACACUCUGGUGAAUCAAGAAAAAAUGUAUUAUCAGCAUUGACACCAAAUUGCCUGGCUGGAAAAUGGGCACCUAAUUCAGUAUUAUCAUCAGAAUGAUGACAAAAGGUAGACUGAGAAGAAACUAGAUUAUGCGAAGAAACAUCAGCAUCCACAAAUGACAUAUCCAUAGAUCUAUAUAAAUCAAUUUCAGGUUUUUCAAUAAAAGCACCACUGUGUCCAAACUUCUCAUGUGAAGUAUUCAUAUAAAGGCCAUGUGAAGCAUCUGCAAUUUCCAGAAAAAAAUAAAUAAAUAAAUCAUUAAUUCCAAUAUAAAUCAGAAUCAUCUAUCUAAAAUAUCAAAUGAAACUAGAUGCCAUACUACAACUUGGAAUCUCAGGCUGCAAUACACCAACCCUCCCUUCUCCUUGAUCCCUGCUACAUGGACAACACCACUCUUUAGGACUUACGGGGCAGGCAUGCAUAGGAGAGCUAAUUUGUGAUGAGGGAUCCAGUGUCACAUGAUUAAAGGCCAUGGCAGAAAUCCCUGCAUGAUCAAAGGAACCAAAUGAACCUCGAAUCCUAGCAUCUGAAGCUUCUGGAUUGUGUGAAGGGUAAAAUGUAGCUGGAUUUAUGGACUCAGAUUCUAAUGCAUGUCGUCCGUUUAACAUCUGAAAACCACUUUGAAGCUGAAAGUUCUUGUGGUUGCCAACAUCAACAUCAGUAGCCGACUCAUUUUUCAAGUUCUUAGAUGAAAAUUCUUCGGGACUACUCUGCAAGUUUGUGAAUGCAAAGAAGAAAUAUUCACUAAAAUGCAAAAGGAAGCUAAACCAUGUUUUCCGAGUUUCACCAGUCCUAAGAGAAAAGUUAGAGCAUGUUUAGUCAAUUAAGAAAAAUAAAAAAUAAAAAAAAGGCUCUCUUUCUUGCAUUGAUUGUAAAAUGUAAAAUCCAAUGAGUUCUCCCGAAUUGCUUGAAAUUAGCCAUUCAGAUGAUGUAUAUUCCCGAUGGCCUUGAGACACCAACAGAAACUCCCAUUUACACCACUAUUAAACAUACAAAAUUAUCUAUCUAGAGCUCAAGAAACAGUUGAAGCCGCCUACUCGAUCCACAAAACCUAGUACCUACAUCCAAUUUUUAUCCGAAUAUGAAACUUGUCCACACUGUAAUCAAGUUCAAAAUCAAAGUUUCUCGGAAUUAUACUCUUAACCCCACAAUUGCUGACUCCAAGGACUGAAACGGCACGUUAUCCACAUAACUCGAGUUCCCAUUUUUUUUUUAUCCAAGAGCAGCAACGGAAGCCUACCUGAGAAGGAUCACCAGGUUCUUCAAGAAUAUGUAAGAAGUCAUCCAUAUCCAUUGUCAAUUCCAAAUUCCCACUGCUAUUGCCGCCAUCAGCCUCGUCAACGCCACUGAUAUCACCACAAGGCCAAGGCCCCGAACCACCAUCGGCCAUAAUCAUCAUCAAAUGAAACUCCAACACCCAAAUCAAACCGAAAAAGCCAAAAAGAAAGAACCAGUCAAUUAAAUAAGCCCCAACACUAACCAAAACUCUUCACUACUGUAAAAUUCAAAUCAAGACUCUUCGAUCCAAAUAUCAGAAACUGCACAUCGUCAACCGAAAACAGCCAAAAUAAUAAAUAUCAAAGAACUUUCUCGUGAUUUUUCUUUCUAUUUUGUGUGUAAGAUUCUACGUUUUUUUUUUUCUUGCUGGAAAACAAACACGAAAAAUAAAGAAAAAGAGCGUUUUAUAUUUAUAGAUUUAAAAGCAGCCAGUUGUGAAUAAUGUGGCAUGGAUGGCGCUGGUUUAAAUAUGAAUGGAUUGACUAGCAUUCAGCAGGGGACUAGGGGAGAGGUCGAACUCGUACGUUAUGUCGUUUAUGCAGGGUUCCUUUGACUUAAAACCUCAGUCGUUGGAUCAGCAUCAACGAUUUGAUCCAAGGAUUGAGAAUGUAUGACCAGAAAACAAGUCGACCGUGAAUAAAU
RNAcentral lists this unclassified non-coding RNA (5785 nucleotides) under Hevea brasiliensis (rubber tree). Lineage: Eukaryota; Viridiplantae; Streptophyta; Magnoliopsida; Malpighiales; Euphorbiaceae. The record is from RNAcentral.